AAAAAUAGGAAUUGUGUGUGAAAGGGCUUCUUGGACUUGAACUUUAUGCAAAAUGGUACUGUACACGUUACAUAUGAUGAUGGGAUCCAUAUCGACGUGAAACUCCAACAAGAGAAAGUAGUAACCCUCACACAUAUGAUGAACAUUGAGUUAACUCCAUUAUUCUUUUGUACUUCCUACAGGGGUGCUGGUCACUUGCAUCCACUUUCAUGCAAGCAAGAGCAAGAACAAUUUUCAAAUAAGAAAAUAUCUAAAAAUUUCCUCUGCGGUACAGAAUCUAAU
Molecule: unclassified non-coding RNA, 282 nt
Filed under: Hevea brasiliensis (rubber tree)
Lineage: Eukaryota; Viridiplantae; Streptophyta; Magnoliopsida; Malpighiales; Euphorbiaceae
Source: RNAcentral